GCCUCCUGGCCGCCACCACAGCGCCCCGGGAACUGCGGGUUACCCAGGCGGCCAGCCCUCACCCCCGGUCCUGGCCCUCAGGCAGCGGUCCGCGAGGAGGCGGCAGCCACCCCACUGGAUAGUUCUGGCGACCUGUGCCUGAGGACUGGGGCCGAAGGGCGGCGUGGGAGCAGGAGUGAUCGGGCGGGUGAGUGCCUAGCUCUCCUGCAGAGGUGAGCUGGCGGCAGGGCGACUGGAGCAACUCGGUGCCCAGUGCCAGUGCCAGCACUCCGUUCCUCCUCCCCCCAUGACAGCUGAAGAGAGACGGUCUCUAAGCCUGACCUCCAACUGAGAGGAGACAAAUGCCACUUUAGCUUCUUAGCCCCGGCACUAUUCAGAAAGUUACCCUGUGAUUUUUGUCUUUCUCUCAUAAAUUACUAGAGGUACAGGACCAAAAAUGCACGUUCAUUCUGAAAGACCCUCAGCCUGAAACACAGUGAAUUAAAGGACUGUUUAGAACACCUAGAGGGAAUCUUGUUGUUGUUGUUGUUUUCAAUCCCAAACAGUUCAGAAAAUCCACUUGAGAUCUUAAGCGAUGCCUCAAAAGAAUAAAACUCCCCAGAUUUGGGUGUAGGCUCGGUAAAUUAGGUUUCAGGGAAAUGUUUUUGCCAUCUGCUGUAGAAACAUUAUGAGAACUUCAGGUGUUAGGAUGUGGGUUUGGAAUUUUCUGUGUUGUCUUUAAUCCUCACAGACAUGAAAACAGCUUGGUAAUGCCCCGCAAGCGAGCAAAGGUUAUCCUUGCCACCACAGCACCUGUGAAAGCACAAGUGGAACUCACAUAUUUUCCUUCCUGAGUUCUAAAAUGGCUUCUGAACUGUCCAGAGGUACCAGCAUAUACGGGGGCGGGAGAGGGGGGUGGCCACCGGGAACAGGAGAGUUUGUACACUUAAAAACACACACACACACACAUAUUAUUAUAUUAAAAUUUUUGCAUCUAACUUUCCCCUAUCCUCAUCUUCAUCAAUCCAAGAAGAAUUUUAGUGCAGGCCUACUUAAUAAUUUUUAAUAUACUGCCUUUUUCUCUUCCCUCACCACCACCCCAAACACACACACACACACAGACACACACACACACACACACACACACACCCCAGCCAAAAACAUCAACUCUUUAAGGGAAGAAGUAAGAAACUACCAAUCCUUAUCCAACUACACGUCAUUUAUUUUGAGCACUAAUAAAUCCUACAAUCAAUGCUAUGAAAAAAAUAGUUCACCAAGACCUCAAACACCUUUAACGGGUGUAAUUAGUGAUGUUGUCUUUUAACAUGAAAUCAAUGGGACAGAUUCUGGAAUUGAUAGGUGAAAAACUCAAAAUUCUUCCUGGAAGUAUUUGGAGACAGAGGCUUCUGCUCCUUGUAUUUCAUCGUACAAUAGUCUUUUAGGAAAAAAACAGAUACUUUUUCUUGACCAUAUAUAAAGCAGUAUCAUGUAGACCAAUUUUAUUUUAGUUAUAUGCCUUAAAUCUUCAAAUUACUUACAUGAAUAGUGAAAAUUCACAUAUAAAGGAAGACUGCCAACAUCUUUUAAUGUUGAAUUUUUAAUUUAGAAAUUCAACCAAAUUAUCAUAACCAUAUUAAAAUACAGUCCCCUCCUGUGUUCCCUUCAGUGUUCUGUUUGCUUAAGCUGUUGAAAAAGAAGUCUUCCCUGAGUUUAAAAAGUAUGCUUUGGAUACCUGACUUCCUAAAAUAAAAAAUAACUCACUGAUAUUUAGGAAUAAUUAUUCUAUCAUUUGACAAUUCUGUAUAUAGCUAAUGUAACAGUACCUCCUUCUUACAUUUUGGAAUUAUUAUAUUGUACAUUUUGGGCUCCUUGGAGCCCACAUAGUUCAUGUUCCAUAGUUUUCUCCCCUAGAUGUUUUUGUUAAAAAGUAACUGCCUCCAAUGAUACAGCAACAUUCUGAUGCCCAUUCUGCUAAUUCAAACACUUAAGACCAAACCUAUUCAGACUAUUUAAAAAUGACAUGUGUUUCUUCUAUUGUCAAAGUUUAGAACACAUAUGAAUAAAUAAAAUCAUUUGGAAGCCUAGAAUAGU
This 2070-nucleotide long non-coding RNA is filed under the name Marmota monax (woodchuck). The record is from RNAcentral. Lineage: Eukaryota; Metazoa; Chordata; Mammalia; Rodentia; Sciuridae.